Tribolium madens (black flour beetle) is the source of this 2526-nucleotide long non-coding RNA. RefSeq lists it as uncharacterized. The record is from RefSeq and is a predicted model, not a curated record. Lineage: Eukaryota; Metazoa; Arthropoda; Insecta; Coleoptera; Tenebrionidae. The transcript is spliced from 2 exons.
ACUUUAUUUUGUAUAUAAUUUUUUUAUAAACACGUAGAGCUUGAGUAACAAUGUGAAAAACGGGAUUUUUUGAUCGCGAGUUCGAAUGCCAACUUCCCGAUUUCGCUCUCGAGCCAACAUUUGGAAUGUUUUGGACUUGCUGUCUGUAGAAGCUGCUCGCUUGGCUUGAUCUCGCACUGUAGUCUUUUUCUUCAUAAGGCCCCACUACAAAUCUGAACAAAAUUUAAAGUGUUAUCUCAAUAAUUAGAUAACGAACCUUAAGACUCCAAACAUGCUGUCAGCCUUCCCCACUGAGUCUUUAUGGUAACCCCCCUUGUAAUACAUAAGUAAAAUUGCCAUGCCAAUGGCAAAAAUGGCCGUGUCGCCAUAUUUGAUAUUUCGGACCAUUUUGCGUGAUAAAGCCAUGUUCCAGAGGGUUUCUGUUGCGACAUUGCUGACGUAUAGACAUAACAGAGUGCGGCGGGAAGGCCUUUCGAUUAGAACUGAGAAUACGCUAGAUAAGAAUGCUGGGAUUGCCGACACGGUCAGGAUGUUAAAGUUGCCCAAAAGUCGUCUAAAAUGCUAUGUUUCUUUUAAGUUUUUUGGUGGUUUUUGCGUACCUUAAAACACAUAAAAAUAGAGAGUAACCAAAUGCAGUACCGCUGAGAAAAGCGGUCGAUUGUAAGAUUCCUAAAACUGUUUUCUUCAAAUCUUCUUUGGUCGGAAUUCGACCUUUCAUCAACAGGGUCAACUGUAACAAAAUUACCAAAUUUUGGAUUUGACUAUUGUCAUUAGCACUCAUUUAGAUAACCAGAUUUUUUGAAAAAUUGUUACACCAACCGGAACUGAUAACGAAAGUAAACAAAAAAGAUACGAGCGGAAAUCUUGUUCAAAAAUUAAAUGUUUAUAAUUAAAAUUAUUCAAACACCUUCACUCACCACGUAGACACAGAAAUAAAUUUUGAAGGAAGGUAACGCAACCACUUUAGCUAAUUUCAAUGGACAAGGAGCACACUUAUUUUCCCAAUAAUGAAGUUCUUUGCAAUCCACAAAUAGCGGUCGGAAUUUACUAAAAGCAACCAUUUUUCAGCAAAAAGUUAUGUAAAACUUUACUCAAGUGGAUUGCAAAAUCCACUUUUUUAUAUUUACAUCCAACGCUAUUUCAAAAACAAUAGGACCAUUGAUACCUUCAUUUAUUUAUUUUAUGUUAAUGGGCUUUCUCUCUUUGUUGAUAAAUUAUAAAUUACUUUACUAAACCUAACAAUAGAAAAUGCGUAACAUCUAAGGAAAACCAUGUAGUAGGUGUUUCGAAUUUCUCUGGAUAUUUGACAGCCAAAUUUUUGGAUAUCCCUAAUUAAUGAAUUAUUGAUUUAUCAUAAAAGUAUAAAUAAAUCAAUCACCCAAAACCAGAACUUUUGUUUUUCGUUCACUUAAUCCAAAAUUUCUAAAAUUUGUUUAAAAUUCUUUCGUUAUUCAUUCAAGAUAGAAAAAUAAGACGAUAGUCACGAAUAACUUACCUACCUAGUUAGAUAAAAAUUUCACCAACUUAAAAAUAGUUCAAUAGCAAUGCGUAACCUCUACUAAAUCACUUGUGUUGUUACUUUUUAAACCCCAUCAACAUUUAUUAACCAGUGACAUCAUUUACUACAACAUAAAGCUUCUUCUUUUACAACGGAAAAAUGUUAGUGUUUGUUAAUGUGCAACCAGUUAAAUAACAAAUUAAACAAAGCAGAAAUGACUUUAAAAAUAUUAAAUUUUCUUGUUAAAUCAUCGUCUUUUCUCUUGGUAAGUAGCUUGUCUGUGACAUAUUUAUUACCAAUUUAUAAGUAUAAAUUAUUAUACUUACCAAGUAGACACCAAUAUACAUUUUAAAUGAACCUAUCACACUAUUUAAUCCAGUUUCUGUAUGAAAAAUAACACAAACAUCUUGCCAAUUGUGUAUAUCGCGACAAUCUAUCGUUAAGGCUUGAAACUUGCUCAAAACUUGCACCAUUUUCGCGUUAGUGAUUAUCACAGACCAAAUUUAACUACAAGUGGUUACCUAUUUGUGCUUAUCAAAUUAUUAUUUGUUGACAUUUACACCCGACGCUAUUGGUGGGACAAUUUUUCUAAAUACACAACCGAACGUAAGGAGAGAUAGUAGUGAUAGCAGUUCUUUCUGCGAGUCACUUGGUGACUUGUACUUAGAACGAAGUAAUUAUAAAAAUUUAUUAUUAUCGGCUAAUUCCUGUCCAUUUAGUAGCAAUAAACAGAUUAUUAGGUGCCAUACGAAAAACUUUAGAUAUUCUCAAUCGGACCUACCAAUGAGAUAACACGUCAAAAAACUUGAAACUGCAGCUAAUUUGAUUGUAGUUACUAUACAGAGUGGAUCGGUAAACGAUGUCGAUUAAUUAAUACAAAACUAUGCCCAAUAACAAUUUCAUGAUAUCAUGAACAUACAUAAUUAUUUAAUUAUUCAACGACCUUUGUCAGUCACCAUGAAUGUAAAAUGAAAAAACUAAAAAACUAUACAAUACAUUACAAAUUAUACUUGUAAGUACAAAACUUA